This 864-nucleotide small RNA is filed under the name Pan troglodytes (chimpanzee). RNAcentral describes it as "processed transcript". Lineage: Eukaryota; Metazoa; Chordata; Mammalia; Primates; Hominidae. The record is from RNAcentral.
AGAGUCACUGGCUCAAGUCAGUCACUAUGAGACACCUGGGAAAACUGCCCCACCUUGUGGCUCCACUGCCUGAUGACUGAACUGACUCCAGGCUUGACCUCUGGUCUCCCCUGUGUUAUUUCUGCUGAAGUACCCAGUCCCAGGCCAGGCUUUCCAGUACCCAAAGGGUUUUAAGGACAAUGGGAAGUUCCAUCAUCCAUCUCUAGGAUGUCCUUGGCAAGGGAAGCUGAAGAGAAACAUACCUUGGGGGGCAAAGUAAGACUGAAAACUAAGAAGAUUCCCAGCACUGCAUGCUCCAAGUAGGACCAAAGAUGGAGACUCCCAAGCCCUCCAUCUCCAGCAGCAACUUAAACCCCAGGGAGGCGAUGGAGAGCUGUGAGUAUUAACCUGUUGAUCCUGAGACUGCCAGGACGCAAGCUACCAGUGGUGGAUGAAUGGUCAGAGCCUCCUAUGACUCAUAGGUUGCAGCUGUCCGAAACCAACAGACCCUCUCUCUAUUGGUGUCACAAAGUAUACUGCAGGACCCUAUGAAUGUGAAAUACGGAACUCAGUGAGUGCCAGCCGCAGUGACCCUUCACCCUGAAUCUCUCCCGAAGCUGCCCAUGCCCUACAUCACCAUCAACAACUUAAACCCAGGGAGAAUAAGGAUGUCUUAGCCUUCACCUGUGAACCUAGAGUGAGAACUAACCUACAUUUGGUGGCUAAAUGGUCAGAGCCUCCCGGUCAGUCCCGGGUAAAGCGACCCAUUGAAAACAGGAUCCUCAUUCUACCCAGUGUCACGAGAAAUGAAACAGGACCCUAUCAAUGUGAAUACGGGACCGAUAUGGUGGCAUCCGCAGUACCCAGUCACCCUGAAUGUCCUCU